CCACUUUGGUCUAUUCAACUGUUUUAGAAUUCAGUUGACAAGCCGAAAUAUAUAUUUUUUCAAUUUCUAUCGCCAGACUAUCCACAUAUAGCUCACUUAAGUUGUCGUUGAGUUACCGCAGCUGUAUCCUGUACAUCAAAAAUCGUCUGCUCCUUAUUCGUAUUUCCAUGAACCGUCUGCCUUUUGUCAAAAUCCACCCACGCUGUUUCAGUUACUUUAGAGCACCCUUUGACAAGUCUAACUGCAAGUUUUGAUAAAGAUAUAAAGGUGAAGCUGUGAUGUCACCAUGGAUGUAUCAAAGAUGAAAGUUGAACCCUUUUCUGAAAAUGAACAGGAUGAUUUGGUGGAUAUCAAAUUGAUGAAAAAUGAAGAUGAAACUCCUACAUUUUCUAGUAUAGAAGCUGAUUCCUUACAACAAAGAUCUUUACAUACCAUUUUGAAGUUUGGUGUAGUGAAAGAGGAACAAGAAGAGAACUGUGAUGAAGGAACAGAAAAA
Long non-coding RNA from Limulus polyphemus (Atlantic horseshoe crab), 496 nucleotides. RefSeq lists it as uncharacterized. The transcript is spliced from 3 exons. The record is from RefSeq and is a predicted model, not a curated record. Lineage: Eukaryota; Metazoa; Arthropoda; Merostomata; Xiphosura; Limulidae.